GCGGGUUUACUCGGAGAGAUUUUACAUUUUAAUUUUUGCGUACGAAUUCGCGCGUGUAUUUUCUAUAUUCUCUCUCAGCGAAUUCCGAUAACACGACGUUCAUAUUGCCAUUCGUAUCGUGAUAAACCGUGAUUUUCAGAUUCUGAGCGCGGUGAGGAAUGCGGUUUUACUGUGACGCUGUGUGUGUUUUUUUUCGUGAACAUCUUUUCUCUCGCAAAUCC
Cinara cedri is the source of this 221-nucleotide non-coding RNA. NCBI's taxonomy places the organism in Eukaryota, Metazoa, Arthropoda, Insecta, Hemiptera, Aphididae. The record is from the annotation of a GenBank genome assembly.